Molecule: transfer-messenger RNA, 126 nt
Filed under: Bacteroidota bacterium
Lineage: Bacteria; Pseudomonadati; Bacteroidota
Description: Bacteroidetes bacterium (wastewater metagenome) partial transfer-messenger RNA
Rfam family: transfer-messenger RNA
About the family: Bacterial tmRNA, also known as 10Sa RNA or SsrA, is named for its dual tRNA and mRNA-like properties. Its role is to liberate the mRNA from a stalled ribosome.
Source: RNAcentral
GAGCUAGCGAGUUGGGAAGCCCGCUCCGGGGCGUCUCAUCUUGCGAUAACAAAUCCGGAGCUACGCUCGUAGAGACUGAUGCCUGGUUACUUGCGGACGAGGGUGCAAUUCCCUCCGCCUCCACCA